AACGAACGCUGGCGGCGUGCCUAACACAUGCAAGUCGAACGAGAAAGCUCUUCGGAGUGAGUAAAGUGGCGCACGGGUGAGUAACACGUAGGUUGACCUACCUAACAGUGGGGGAUAACUAGAAGAAAUUCUAGCUAAUACCGCAUACGAACUACCGAUUUGAAUCAGGUAGUUGAAAGAGUGCCUCUGCAUAUGCACUCGCUGACUGAUGGGCCUGCGGGACAUUAGCUUGAUGGUGGGGUAACGGCCUACCUUGGCGACGAUGUCUAGCGGAUCUGAGAGGAUGAUCCGCCACACUGGAACUGAGACACGGUCCAG
RNAcentral lists this ribosomal RNA (318 nucleotides) under uncultured bacterium. RNAcentral describes it as "bacterial SSU rRNA". It matches the Rfam family "Bacterial small subunit ribosomal RNA", at positions 29 to 334 of the family's 1533-position model. The record is from RNAcentral.